UACGAUCGUUGGGGGUGAGAA
This 21-nucleotide non-coding RNA is filed under the name Caenorhabditis elegans. Lineage: Eukaryota; Metazoa; Nematoda; Chromadorea; Rhabditida; Rhabditidae. The record is from RNAcentral.